RNAcentral lists this ribosomal RNA (481 nucleotides) under uncultured bacterium. Its description in RNAcentral is "partial 16S ribosomal RNA". It matches the Rfam family "Bacterial small subunit ribosomal RNA", at positions 28 to 507 of the family's 1533-position model. The record is from RNAcentral.
GAUGAACGCUGGCGGCGUGCCUAACACAUGCAAGUCGAACGAAGCACUUUAUUUGAUUUCCUUCGGGACUGAUUAUUUUGUGACUGAGUGGCGGACGGGUGAGUAACGCGUGGGUAACCUGCCUUGUACAGGGGGAUAACAGUUGGAAACGGCUGCUAAUACCGCAUAAGCGCACGGCAUCGCAUGAUGCAGUGUGAAAAACUCCGGUGGUAUAAGAUGGACCCGAGUUGGGUUAGCUAGUUGGUGCGUUAACGGCCCACCAAGGGGACGUUCCAUAGCCGAGAAGGGAGGGAGAGCCGCCACAUUGGGGGUGGGACACGGCCGAAAAUCCUACGGGAGGGAGGAAUGGGGAAUAGUGCAAAAUGGGCGGAAGCCUGAAGCAGCGACGCCGCGUGAGCGAAGAAAUAUUGCAGGAUGUAAAGCUCUAUCAGCAGGGAAGAUAAUGACGGUACCUGACUAAGAAGCACCGGCUAAAUACGUG